This 806-nucleotide long non-coding RNA is filed under the name Nicotiana benthamiana. Its description in RNAcentral is "long non-coding RNA (NBEN_LNC035500)". Lineage: Eukaryota; Viridiplantae; Streptophyta; Magnoliopsida; Solanales; Solanaceae. The record is from RNAcentral.
AAAAAUCCAAAAAAUCAAGGACGGCUAAAAUUUUCAGUGAAAAUUACUAUUACAUUGGAUUUUCUUUGUAAUUUCUUAAGUUUCCAACUCCUAAAAGUAAAUUCUGAUCUAGAUAGAAUUAAAAUGGUCCGAGUUUAGUGGCUUAAAAAGUUUGGUCUAAAGUUCUGUUUGAUUGUUGCAUAUCAUUCCUUGGUUUAAAACUGGUUCUCUUGUUCAUCUCUGCUGCUGCCGUAUAUUAUUGUUGUUGAUGAUACUUCACCUUCUGUAUCUUUCCAUCUCCAGGUAUUCUUCCUGAAACUAUGGUUGGAAAUUGAGCUUGGUUGUUGAGUCUUAUGUAAAGUCUUAUGAACCAAAUUGUAUUUGUAAAUCAGAAUAUUUUUCAUUGUGAUUGUUGCUGCAUUUGCCAUAUUCCUUUCCUUGAUUCAGUCUAGCUUGCUUUGGAUUCCCCAUUCAUAUGCACUUGGUAUUAGUUGUAAGGUUUGAACUAGUUUGGAUGUUAGAGGUUCAAAGGUACUUUAGAUGAAACUUGUAAUAAUUAAGGACUGUGAUGUUGUAGUUGAUUACUGGAUAUUAGUUGGUUUUUGGUUUGUGUUUGUCAUAGAAAUGAGCUAAAUAUAUGUCUAUUCAGAAUGAUUGAUCUCAUGAAUUUAGUGUCAUUUUAUUUUCCUAAUAAUUAUGCUCAGGUUUGCAUCCAUAUGGUGUGAAAACAUGGUUUAGUGUUCUCAUAGUUUAGCACUAGUUCUCUUUCCAUGUGUGUUCUGAGUUUUGUUUUUCUUUCGGAUUUCUGAAAAGGAAUUUUUCUAAAG